GAUGAACGCUGGCGGCGUGCCUAAUACAUGCAAGUCGAGCGAACAGACGAGGAGCUUGCUCCUCUGACGUUAGCGGCGGACGGGUGAGUAACACGUGGAUAACCUACCUAUAAGACUGGGAUAACUUCGGGAAACCGGAGCUAAUACCGGAUAAUAUAUUGAACCGCAUGGUUCAAUAGUGAAAGACGGUUUUGCUGUCACUUAUAGAUGGAUCCGCGCCGCAUUAGCUAGUUGGUAAGGUAACGGCUUACCAAGGCGACGAUGCGUAGCCGACCUGAGAGUGGAGUCGGCCACCCGGGAAGUGAGACUGGGUCCAGACGCCUACGGGAGGCAGCAGUAGGGAAUCUUCCGCAAUGGUCGAAAGGGUGACGGAGCAACGCGGCGUGAGGGAUGAAGGUCUUCGGAUCGUAAAACUCUGUUAUUAGGGAAGAACAAAUGUGUAAGUGACUAUGCACGUCUUGACGGUACCUAAUCAGAAAGCCACGGCUAACUACGUG
RNAcentral lists this ribosomal RNA (497 nucleotides) under uncultured bacterium. Its description in RNAcentral is "partial 16S ribosomal RNA". It matches the Rfam family "Bacterial small subunit ribosomal RNA", at positions 28 to 507 of the family's 1533-position model. The record is from RNAcentral.